This 72-nucleotide transfer RNA is filed under the name bacterium. RNAcentral's name for it is "tRNA-Arg". It matches the Rfam family "tRNA". From Rfam's summary of the family: Transfer RNA (tRNA) molecules are approximately 80 nucleotides in length. Their secondary structure includes four short double-helical elements and three loops (D, anti-codon, and T loops). The record is from RNAcentral.
GCGCUCGUGGUGAAAUGGAUAUCACGUCAGCCUUCGAAGCUGAAUUUGGGGGUUCGAAUCCCUCCGAGCGCA